RNAcentral lists this ribosomal RNA (676 nucleotides) under Citrobacter sp. RNAcentral's name for it is "bacterial SSU rRNA". It matches the Rfam family "Bacterial small subunit ribosomal RNA", at positions 75 to 748 of the family's 1533-position model. The record is from RNAcentral. Lineage: Bacteria; Pseudomonadati; Pseudomonadota; Gammaproteobacteria; Enterobacterales; Enterobacteriaceae.
CUUGCUCCUUGGGUGACGAGUGGCGGACGGGUGAGUAAUGUCUGGGAAACUGCCCGAUGGAGGGGGAUAACUACUGGAAACGGUAGCUAAUACCGCAUAACGUCGCAAGACCAAAGAGGGGGACCUUCGGGCCUCUUGCCAUCGGAUGUGCCCAGAUGGGAUUAGCUAGUAGGUGGGGUAACGGCUCACCUAGGCGACGAUCCCUAGCUGGUCUGAGAGGAUGACCAGCCACACUGGAACUGAGACACGGUCCAGACUCCUACGGGAGGCAGCAGUGGGGAAUAUUGCACAAUGGGCGCAAGCCUGAUGCAGCCAUGCCGCGUGUAUGAAGAAGGCCUUCGGGUUGUAAAGUACUUUCAGCGAGGAGGAAGGUGUUGUGGUUAAUAACCGCAGCGAUUGACGUUACUCGCAGAAGAAGCACCGGCUAACUCCGUGCCAGCAGCCGCGGUAAUACGGAGGGUGCAAGCGUUAAUCGGAAUUACUGGGCGUAAAGCGCACGCAGGCGGUCUGUCAAGUCGGAUGUGAAAUCCCCGGGCUCAACCUGGGAACUGCAUCCGAAACUGGCAGGCUAGAGUCUUGUAGAGGGGGGUAGAAUUCCAGGUGUAGCGGUGAAAUGCGUAGAGAUCUGGAGGAAUACCGGUGGCGAAGGCGGCCCCCUGGACAAAGACUGACGCUC